Molecule: long non-coding RNA, 578 nt
Organism: Cyprinus carpio carpio
Lineage: Eukaryota; Metazoa; Chordata; Actinopteri; Cypriniformes; Cyprinidae
Source: Ensembl
GGGGGGACCUUAUAUUUCUAUACAGGCUAAGCAUGCCAUAGCAUUUGGGACAUGCUUAAGCAGGGGUCUCCAACCCUUCUCCUGGAGAGCUACUGUCCUGCAGAUUACAGCUCCAACCCCAGUCCAACACACCUGAACCAGCUAAUCAAGGUGUUCAGGGCUACUUGAUUAUUACAGACAGGUGUGUUGGAGCAGGGUUGGAACUGAAGUCUGCAGGAUGGUAGCUCUCCAGGAGCAGGGUUGGAGAUUCCUGUGCUAAAGGCAAUAAACAUGUUACGACUAUGAAUUACAGUAUAUGAAUUACCAAGGACAACAGUUGCACCUAAAAAUGACAAGAAGUCACCUGCAUCAUGGAUGGCUUGGUCUUAUUGUGCACAAUCUUUCAGCCUACCCACACAGAAGAAUCAACCAAAGCAUCCAAUCAACCACCACCAACAAACACCAGCAAAACAACACAGAUCUCUUUAUUAACCAUCUAGCAACCAGCUACAACAUCUUAGCAACACACUAGCAAACACAUUUCAACAUCUUGUCAUUUUCCCAGAACACCCUAGCACAUAUCGAACAAUGCCGUAGCA